Molecule: small RNA, 879 nt
Filed under: Pan troglodytes (chimpanzee)
Lineage: Eukaryota; Metazoa; Chordata; Mammalia; Primates; Hominidae
Description: retained intron
Source: RNAcentral
CCCAAAUUAAUGACAGCAGAUGCUGAAGUCUGAGAUGGUCAGAUGUUAGGAAGGGGAUUGGCUGUGACCACCUGGGACCUGCCCACCUGGCUCAUGAGGCUGCGGCCCACGGUUGCCAGCUCCUCAGAUUUUUCCAGAGCAGCCGGAACCUGCAUUGUUUUGUAAAAUCUUCAGAAUUCAGGUUUUCUGAAAACCCUAUGAUGGUCCCACCAGUCCCGGUGUGGGCUGAAUCUGCUUCCUGAGCUGGGUCCUGCUGACUGGGUCGGAGGAGCUAAGAGCUGGCAUCCCCGGCUUUCUCGCCUUUGUUCUGCUGGGAUGUGGUAGGGAGAUCAGCUGUGCAGCUUUGAUGCCUGGCUCUGGUACCAGGAUGGGUGGGAGCCCCCAACCCUCGCUCCUGGGUGCAGAGCGUGGUUGUAUCUGGGGCCGGGGCCUCUGACCCCCUUGUCCCUGCUGCAGAUUGAGAUGGCCAUCCUGUGGUUCCCUUACGAGUCCUGGGGGACCCCGUUCCAGCAGCUGAAGCAGGUGGUGGAGGAGCCAUCCCCCCAGCUCCCAGCCGACCGUUUCUCCCCCGAGUUUGUGGACUUCACUGCUCAGUGCCUGAGGAAGAACCCCGCAGAGCGUAUGAGCUACCUGGAGCUGAUGGAGCACCCCUUCUUCACCUUGCACAAAACCAAGAAGACGGACAUUGCUGCCUUCGUGAAGGAGAUCCUGGGAGAAGACUCAUAGGGGCUGGGCCUCGGACCCCACUCCGGCCCUCCAGAGCCCCACAUCCCCAUCUAGGGGGGCAGUGCUCACCCACACCAUAAGCUACUGCCAUCCUGGCCCAGGGGGCAUGCUCUGGGUGAGGCAGGAAACUGGAGGGGGCGCCUUGCUCCCACC